Non-coding RNA from Pelobates cultripes (western spadefoot toad), 212 nucleotides. The record is from the annotation of a GenBank genome assembly. Lineage: Eukaryota; Metazoa; Chordata; Amphibia; Anura; Pelobatidae.
GAUGUGUUUGCACAACUUGGGCAUAUAUUGCAUGCCAGGGAGGAAAUAAAAUUCCUACCAUAAAAUAGGUGACUGUCUUUUUUGGCAAAUCACUGCAUCUAUAACCAACUUUAUUUGCCACAAGCCCUCCAUUGAGCACAGUUGUUAGGGUACUUACGCGAUCCUUUAAACUCAUUGACAUAGCUAUCUUUAACUAUACUCAGAAUGAUGAG